Molecule: unclassified non-coding RNA, 375 nt
Filed under: Hevea brasiliensis (rubber tree)
Lineage: Eukaryota; Viridiplantae; Streptophyta; Magnoliopsida; Malpighiales; Euphorbiaceae
Source: RNAcentral
CUGUCUCACACCUAAGAGAUCAACUCCCCGACCCAAAACCCCAGUGGCCACAAUCACAGAAACCUCCCCCACCAAAAAUGACCUCAUGAUUUCUCUUCUCUCCUUCAUGGACUUCUCCCCAUGGAUUGAUAGAGCCUUCAAACCUGUGGUAACCAUGAUUGCAUUAGACAGGAGAUCUGCCCCAAGUCUUGAACCCACAUAUACAACCACUGGUGGCAAAAAAUGCUGCUUGCUCAUCAAAAUGUCAAAAAGCUUUUGCUUCUUUUGCUUUAACUCAACCCAGAUAGCCAGCUGUUUCACAGCCUUACUUGGCCUGUUAGGCUGGCCAAUGGAGACAAUAACCAUAUCUUUUGCCAUAGAGCUUGCCAUCUUCUC